GUGCUCGCUUCGGCAGCACAUAUACUAAAAUUGGAAUGAUACAGAGAAGAUUAGCAUGGCCCCUGUGCAAGGAUGAUAUGCAAAUUCGUGAAGCACUCCAUAUUUUU
Molecule: small nuclear RNA, 107 nt
Filed under: Marmota marmota marmota (Alpine marmot)
Lineage: Eukaryota; Metazoa; Chordata; Mammalia; Rodentia; Sciuridae
Source: RNAcentral